UCGCUGACAUCAUUGGUGCAAACGAAGCGUGUGCGCCCGGCGAAGUAGCAGAAGUGGGAAGCCGCUCCUCGCGCGGCGCUAUUAAAUUUCUUCACGCCCAGCAACCUUGUGCAUCAAUCAUUUCCUGCCCCUCCACGUGACCCGUUGGGAGCCCUUCGCUGCCCGCCGACGAAUUCAUCUUGCGGCCCCCAGUUCGCCCCCCGCCGACUCUCUCCCGCUCUUUUAAAGGGACAGAACCAGGCUUUUAAUAUAAUUAGCCCUCUCCUCUCCUUUCAACACCCCCCCCCGCGCGGGGGUGAUCGGAAAGGAAACAAUAGGCAGCGCGCGGAGCAAAGAUGCUUUCCUAGGAAUGGGGGUGGAAGCUGGCGCUAUCUGGACAAAACUUGCAGGAUCAAGCAGCCAUAAACAACUGAGACUUUUUACAUUUGCUUGUUUUGGAAACUUAUUGUCUGUCUGUCUGCAGUAGGGUGUCUCUCUCCACCCUGUAUUUGCCUGCCAUUGCCUUAUUGUAACACCCUGGAGGGCAGGGAUUAAAUGAUGUUCUUAUCACUGCC
Long non-coding RNA from Podarcis raffonei (Aeolian wall lizard), 554 nucleotides. RefSeq lists it as uncharacterized. The record is from RefSeq and is a predicted model, not a curated record. NCBI's taxonomy places the organism in Eukaryota, Metazoa, Chordata, Lepidosauria, Squamata, Lacertidae. The transcript has 2 exons.